UACGGGGGGUGCGAGCGUUGUCCGGAAUCAUUGGGCGUAAAGGGCGCGUAGGUGGCCCGGUCAGUCUUUGGUGAAAGCGCGGGGCUCAACCCUGCGUCGGCCAGGGAUACUGCCGCGGCUCGAGCACUGUAGAGGCAGGCGGAAUUCCGGGUGUAGCGGUGGAAUGCGUAGAGAUCCGGAAGAACACCGGUGGCGAAAGCGGCUCACUGGACCACAACUGACGCUGAUGCGCGAAAGCUAGGGGAGCAAACAGGG
RNAcentral lists this ribosomal RNA (255 nucleotides) under uncultured bacterium. Its description in RNAcentral is "partial 16S ribosomal RNA". It matches the Rfam family "Bacterial small subunit ribosomal RNA", at positions 524 to 777 of the family's 1533-position model. The record is from RNAcentral.